This is an RNA transcript of Hemicordylus capensis (graceful crag lizard), 5127 nucleotides long. It is a transcript of the gene named epithelial cell transforming 2 like, with no coding region annotated. NCBI's taxonomy places the organism in Eukaryota, Metazoa, Chordata, Lepidosauria, Squamata, Cordylidae. The transcript has 26 exons. The record is from RefSeq and is a predicted model, not a curated record.
UUCUAGCUCUCAGCAGAGCUCUAGUGGUCUCUCAGAGAGGAAAACAGAACUCUCUUCCCUUGAGGAAGUGCAAGAGUCGAUAUUUUCUAACCCUUCCUUAGACUCAGCUGACUGAAACAUGGUUGGCUCCAGAAGAAGAGUGAAUCAAGAUUAAUUGUAUGCUUUGCAUGAUUUCACUGUAAUAAUCCUAAUUCCAAGGAUAAUUGGCAAAGUUAUUUGGAGGUUAAUAAUGGACAAAUUUGAGAGGUGUGAUGGAAAUAACUUCUGAGGAGACCUCUAACAGGAGCGUGCUGAAAGUGUAACUGACUCAUUGACUGAGGAAACUUGUGUAUAACAGAAAUAUUGACUGAGGAAGCUUCCACAAUGACUACAGUUUCCAUAGCACACACACCACAUGGUGUUAAACAGUGGCAUUUGGAGAGCUUAGGGCUCCUUGCAGGAAACACAAUGAAUCCCAAGCAAAAUCUGACUACAGAAAUCAUGCCUUUGCGCUUCAGUGCUUGGACACCAAUUGAAAAUAAAUAUCUUAACAAGCAGCUUUUUCAAGAAAGAGUCAGGCUUAUAAGCCACUGGUUUGACCUUUGGACGGAUAAGCAGCGCAAGCAGUUCCUCCACUGGAUACUGAUGAAAUGCAAUAAGUCACAAUUGAAGUUUGCUGAGACGUGGUUUGUUGAAAAUAUCCCAGUGACCAAAGUGGACUUUACCAGCUUGCUGCCACGUUUCAUAUCACUGUACAUAUUUUCCUUUCUCAGCCCCAAAGAUCUGUGUGCAGCAGCCCAAGUCAACUGGCACUGGAAGUUCUUAACAGAACAGGAUUGUUUGUGGAUGCCAAAAUGCAUCCGGUUUGGAUGGUUUCUACUCUACACUCCUGCACAAAAUGAAUACAGUGCUUGGAAGCAACAUUAUAUUGCUUGUGCAAUUGAAAUGGAUUACUUAACACCCAGGGAAGCCACUGAAAUGUAUGGGACUCUCAAUGAACAUAAUACAGAAACUGAGGAACAAAUGGAAAGACUUCAUGACAAAUAUCUACGAAAAAUUAUGAGAGAAAAACUAGCACUGUACAGGAAGCAAUCAUUCAAAGCUCGUCCACCUUGGGUAAGUGGAACAUGGAGCUCAGGCUUUUUAAAGUCUGGAUUUCAGCCAAAUACGUCCCAGAUUAUCCAUGACCAGACUGAGUUACCAGCAGCAUUAUUACAAAUGAAGAAAGGAAUAUCUUUCCCAAACAAUACACUUUCAAAACAGAUUUCUGAAGCGGCUAAAUUUGUACCACGUUCUGGUAUGGCAACUAAGAAGCAGCUUGUAUUAGGACCUUUAAAAACUGCACCAAAACGAAAGAAUGUUGCUGGUUGCAGCUCUUAUCCUGUCCUACCUCACAGACAUUGUUGGGCAGUUUCCCAAAGGUGCAUUAACUGGGCACAUCCUGCUCAGCCCCACCCUCCUGAGCCCCACCUGGUCUUGAUAUCCUCUAAUGUUUCUGCUUAUGAGAUUAUUGUGGACAGUGUUAUGCCUGGAGUGGUUCCUGUAGUGUAUGAACAUAGUGGCACAACAUUGGAAAGCCUCUUUUAUUAUAUAGAAAAGGCCUUGGAUGGCCGGACAGCAAAGACAAUCGGGAUUCUUAGUGAUGGAGAUUCCAGAGGGAUUAACUUGCUUCAAGGAUACAGAAUCAGUGCCAAGAACCUUCUUAAGCCUGAGGUGAGAGAAUUCUGGGAGAAGUUAGGAAGCUGUGUCACCUCUCAAGAAGAACCUGGUUAUGUAGACAUCUUUGUUCCUCUGGCAGCAUCAGAGGCAGGAAUGGAGAUCCUUUCCCAGCUGUCUUCUCUAACUGGAGUGCUCUUCAGAGCUCCCACAGGAAUAGUAACUGGAUCAUAUCAGCACAUCCUCAGUGAAUGGCUGGGAAAUCAGAAAGAGGACCCUCCUCCAUCCAUCUACUUUACUGAAGUAAAACUGCAAACAUGGCUUAGAUGGACAGAACUCCUGGAAGAUGCACUGAAGGUCAUCAGGAAAAAGCUCAGACCAUAUUUUUGUGAUUUACAGAAGCAUGUUUCUGGCAAGAUUAUUGGUCAGAUUAUGUUUGAUACCAUGAACUGGUCUGAAGUUCAAGACAAUCGAAAAGUAGCCCAGGCAUUGACUGAUGGAUUAGUUGCACUCUCAAGAGGAAAUAAUGAAAACCCUUUGGAAUUUCUAUCUUCUUUCCUAAGGAGAAAGAAUAGUAAAAACAAAAAGUGCCAAAGCCCUGUUUCCUUCACUGGAAGCAACCCAGAAGCAAGCCUGGCUGCAUCACAGAAGAGUGGGAAACUUCAGGAAGAUGCAGCAGAAAAACGAAAAUGUUUUGUCAGAGAGCUUCUGAUAAGUGAGAGGAAUUAUGUGCGUUCACUGGAAAUUGUAAGAGAUGUUUACGUUAAGCCACUGAAUGCAGCGUUAGCCUCAAAUCGAGCCAUCCUCAGCUAUGCCAGUGUACAGACCAUGUUCUCUGACAUCUUGAACAUCUUACAACUCAACAGGUGGUUUUUAGAUGAGCUAAGACAAAGACUUGAUGAAUGGAGCCCAGCGCAAAACUUAGGAGAUGUAUUCAUUAAAUUUUGCAAGCAGCUUCAAACCUACACAAACUUCUACAACAACUAUGCAGUAAUUUUGAAAACGAUUGACAAGUGCAGAGAGACUAUUCCUCUCUUUCGUGCUUUUUUGAAGAGACAUGAUAGGACUGUUACCACCAACAUGAGGAGCCUACAGGAACUUCUGCUGUGCCCUUCUAAGAGGUUUGAAGAGUACGUUACUCUCCUGUAUGCUCUGAGGCUUCACAGUCCUCCAGAACACACUGACUGCGAAAACCUGAUUACUGCAAUUAAACAAAUAAAGCAAUACAAGGAUUAUCUUGAUCAGCUAAAACUGAAUGUGGGUAGAGCUGACCAAAUAUUAAAGACACAAAGAAUCAUCCAAGGAUGUCCUCCGUUAUUGAAAGCUGAUAGAUAUCUAAUUAGGACACAAGAUGUAACCCAGCUAAGCUGCUGUUCUGAGAAAGUCAGUAUUCCAUACAGGCUCUAUGAACACAUCCAUGAUCUCAGCCUUUUCCUUUUCAAUGAUAUACUUGUUAUCUCAUGGCGCAGCAUUUCUUAUAAACCUUUUGAAUGGACUCCAAAGACUACUCACCAGUUCUUGGAAGUAGUACCACUUUCUCAGCUCAUUGUUGAAGAUAUCCUGGAUUCCAAAUACAUCAAGAAUGCUUUUCUUCUACGAGGGCCAACAUGUCAGCUGAUUUGCUCAACAGAAGAAGACGAUGAUAAGUUCAUAUGGCUUUCUGCACUACACAGAGCAAUUAGCUGUAGUAUUGAGGAGAAUGAUAAUUACUUUUGCAGUAAAUCCCCAGCUGAGGCACUGAGGAGAGAUCUACAAAAGAAAGACAAGAUACUUGCAACAUCAGCAGCCUGUGGAAAAUCCCUGGCUGCACUGCACAUGGCUAUGCUCCCAAAGAAAAGACAAAGAUGAAAAUAAUUCAAGAGCAUGAUCAAUAUUGAAAAUUGGGCUUAAAGCUGGGUUUCCCAGAGGCUGAAGACCUUGGUUUUAAAAAUGUAACAACUAAACAAAAGAGAGGUAUAGUGCUGACGAAAAAUACAGAGCAAGAUGGUCCCUGCUCAGUGGUGUCAGUUUGGAGAGGAAAGGGCCCCCUCAGUAGGAACUGGAGGAGCCUGACUUUUCUGAUCCUUGAAUUACUGUCUGCAUAACCAAGUGGCAUCAGAUUACCGAAGCUGGCACUGCUACAGGUAUUCAUGGACUAGAGCUUCACAAUACAUGCAGUUGACUGUAUGCUUCAGAACAUUCCCAUUUCAAGAAACACCUCCAUAUGGAAAGCCAGAAUACAAGCAAUGGCAAGUCAUCCAAAAUUCAAGGAUCAGAGAGCCAGCGUGGUAUAGUGGUUAGAGUGCUGGACUAGGACUGAGAAGACCUGAGUUCAAAUCCCCAUUCAGCCAUGAAACUAGCUGGGUGACUCUGGGCCAGUCACUUCGCUCUCAGCCUAACCUACUUCACAAGGUUGUUGUGAAAGAGAAACUCAAGUAUGUAGUACACCGCUCUGGGCUCCUUGGAGGAAGAGCGGGAUAUAAAAGUCACCACCACCAUCAUCAUCAUCAUCCAAGAUGCUAGCUUUUCAUGUGCAAAGAGGUUUUUAAAUGAGGGCACACUAAAACAUGAUCCUAUGUAUUUUGAGGAGAUACAAUUCCAUGAGGCUUAUAUCGUGGUCUACUUGCUGAAUGUUUGCAUUGUUUCUGAAGCAUGCAUGGAUAUGAAUGAAAUGUUGAACUUUAAUAUCCUAAUAUAUUUGGCACACAUACAAGUUGCCAAGGGUAUCUAAUUAUAUUUAUCCUUUUCAAUCCUUGCUGUAUUCUUUAUAAGGAUACAGCAAUUUUAUAAGGCUCUAGGAAAACAGAGACCUCUUGUCUAUUGUUAUCCCAGAGGGGUCAAGCAUGGUUUCAGCUACAAUUGUGUCUCUAAGAAUAGAUAACAACAACUUUGUUAGCCUCCCUAUAACAAAUAGUUAUCUGGGUGGCUUACAACACAUUAAAAAUUGAGAUAAAAACAUUCAUUAAAUCAUAACUGACCAAAAAAAGGGGGGAGGGAGAGAAAAUACAAAAUAUAAUACAAGAACAGUUACAAUCACAUCAGAUCACUAUUUUUAAAAAAAUAAAUAAAUUUUAAAGGCCUGAGUGGACAGAAAGGUCUUUACCUAGAUCCCUCUUCCUAAAGGAAACAUAGGCCAAAUUCACAUCAAUAGCCAAUACAGUCAUUGAGAGACACGGGUUCAAAUUGUUCCUGCUGAAUCAUGAAGUGUUUUGGGAACCUUGGCUCUUAUUUCUCAGCCUAACCUAAUUCAGAGUUGUUGUGAGGUUAACCUGCGAUAAAGCCCUUGUUUGCCACACUGAGCUCUUUGGAGAAAACAAAUGGCUAUGGCAGAUGCUUUUUAAUACACCAGCUUAACAUGCAUACAACUGCAUUUUAGAGUAUAAUGAAAAUGCUUGUGCAGUAACAAGAAUGCUACUAAAAUAUGCAAUCAACAUAUUUUUAACAGAAAGGAGCACUUGUUACUUACCAUGAAGGCUUCUUCUUGCUGCUGGAUAUGAGGUCAACUCAUGUGGG